GACGAACGCUGGCGGCGUGCUUAACACAUGCAAGUCGAACGGAAAGGCCCUGCUUUUGUGGGGUGCUCGAGUGGCGAACGGGUGAGUAACACGUGAGUAACCUGCCCUUGACUUUGGGAUAACUUCAGGAAACUGGGGCUAAUACCGGAUAGGAGCUCCUGCUGCACGGGGGGGGUUGGAAAGUUUCGGCGGUUGGGGAUGGACUCGCGGCUUAUCAGCUUGUUGGUGGGGUAGUGGCUUACCAAGGCUUUGACGGGUAGCCGGCCUGAGAGGGUGACCGGCCACAUUGGGACUGAGGUACGGCCCAGACUCCUACGGGAGGCAGCAGUGGGGAAUAUUGCACAAUGGGCGGAAGCCUGAUGCAGCAACGCCGCGUGCGGGAUGACGGCCUUCGGGUUGUAAACCGCUUUCGCCUGUGACGAAGCGUGAGUGACGGUAAUGGGUAAAGAAGCACCGGCUAACUACGUG
This 468-nucleotide ribosomal RNA is filed under the name uncultured bacterium. RNAcentral describes it as "partial 16S ribosomal RNA". It matches the Rfam family "Bacterial small subunit ribosomal RNA", at positions 28 to 507 of the family's 1533-position model. The record is from RNAcentral.